GUGAGGAUAGACGAGUAGGUCUAAGGCGACAGGUUUAAACCCUUCAUAUGGGGCGUGGGUUCAAAUCCCACUUCUAAUU
Molecule: non-coding RNA, 79 nt
Organism: Turnera subulata
Lineage: Eukaryota; Viridiplantae; Streptophyta; Magnoliopsida; Malpighiales; Passifloraceae
Source: the annotation of a GenBank genome assembly